This 99-nucleotide ribosomal RNA is filed under the name Nomascus leucogenys (northern white-cheeked gibbon). Lineage: Eukaryota; Metazoa; Chordata; Mammalia; Primates; Hylobatidae. The record is from RNAcentral.
GUCUACAGCCAUACAUGUCCAAUCUUAUCUGAUCUCAGAAGCUAAGCAGGGUUGAGUCUGGUUAGUACUUGGAUGGGAGAAACCUAGUACCUGUUGGCA